AUUGAACGCUGGCGGCAUGCUUUACACAUGCAAGUCGAACGGUAACAGGUUAAGCUGACGAGUGGCGAACGGGUGAGUAAUGCAUCGGAACGUGCCCGGUCGUGGGGGAUAACGCAGCGAAAGCUGCGCUAGUACCGCAUACGAUCUGAGGAUGAAAGCGGGGGACCGUAAGGCCUCGCGCGAUCGGAGCGGCCGGUGUCAGAUUAGGUAGUUGGUGGGGUAAAGGCUCACCAAGCCGACGAUCUGUAGCUGGUCUGAGAGGACGACCAGCCACACUGGGACUGAGACACGGCCCAGACUCCUACGGGAGGCAGCAGUGGGGAAUUUUGGACAAUGGGCGAAAGCCUGAUCCAGCAAUGCCGCGUGCAGGAAGAAGGCCUUCGGGUUGUAAACUGCUUUUGUACGGAGCGAAAAGGUUCUCUCUAAUACAGAGGGCUCAUGACGGUACCGUAAGAAUAAGCACCGGCUAACUACGUGCCAGCAGCCGCCGUAA
RNAcentral lists this ribosomal RNA (493 nucleotides) under uncultured bacterium. RNAcentral describes it as "partial 16S ribosomal RNA". It matches the Rfam family "Bacterial small subunit ribosomal RNA", at positions 29 to 523 of the family's 1533-position model. The record is from RNAcentral.